RNAcentral lists this ribosomal RNA (253 nucleotides) under uncultured bacterium. Its description in RNAcentral is "partial 16S ribosomal RNA". It matches the Rfam family "Bacterial small subunit ribosomal RNA", at positions 524 to 776 of the family's 1533-position model. The record is from RNAcentral.
UACGUAGGGAGCAAGCGUUGUCCGGAAUCGUUGGGCGUAAAGCGCGCGUAGGCGGCCUCAUAAGUCCGUUGUGAAAGUCAAAGGCUCAACCUUUGAAAGCCGAUGGAUACUGUGAGGCUAGAGUCCGGAAGAGGCGAGUGGAAUUCCUGGUGUAGCGGUGGAAUGCGCAGAUAUCAGGAGGAACACCAAUAGCGAAGGCAGCACUCUGGGCCGGUACUGACGCUGAGGAGCGAAAGCAUGGGGAGCGAACAGG